GGGGCCUCUGUUUACAAGCUCCUGCUUCUGGAUGAGCCCGCGUCCCAUCAGCUAGUUGGUAGGGUAAUGGCCUACCAAGGCUACGACGGGUAGCUGGUCUAAGAGGAUGGCCAGCCACACUGGAACUGAGACACGGUCCAGACUCCUACGGGAGGCAGCAGUGGGGAAUCUUGCGCAAUGGGCGAAAGCCUGACGCAGCGACGCCGCGUGGGUGACGAAGGCCUUCGGGUUGUAAAGCCCUGUGGGGUAGAACGAACUGGCAUCGGGCUAAUAUCCCGGUGUCUUGACGGUACUGCCUUAGCAAGCAUCGGCUAACUCUGUGCCAGCAGCCGCGGUAAGACAGAGGAUGCGAACGUUGCUCGGAUUUACUGGGCGUAAAGCGCGUGUAGGCGGUCUCGUUAGUCGGGUGUGAAAGCCCCGGGCUCAACCCGGGAAGUGCACCCGAUACUGCGAGACUGGGGUACUGAAGAGGAGAGCGGAAUUCCCGGUGUAGAGGUGAAAUUCGUAGAUAUCGGGAG
Molecule: ribosomal RNA, 518 nt
Filed under: uncultured bacterium
Lineage: Bacteria
Description: bacterial SSU rRNA
Rfam family: Bacterial small subunit ribosomal RNA
Source: RNAcentral